UGAGGAAUAUUGGGCAAUGGGCGAGAGCCUGAACCAGCCAAGUCGCGUGAAGGAAGACAGUCCUAAGGAUUGUAAACUUCUUUUAUACGGGAAUAACGGGCGAUACGAGUAUUGCAUUGAAUGUACCGUAAGAAUAAGCAACGGCUAACUCCGUGCCAGCAGCCGCGGUAAUACGGAGGAUGCAAGCGUUAUCCGGAUUGAUUGGGUUUAAAGGGUGCGUAGGUUGUUCGGUAAGUCAGCGGUGAAACAUGAGCGCUCAACGUUAAGCCUGCCGUUGAAACUGCCGGGCUUGAGUUCAGUGGCGGCAGGCGGAAUUCGUGGUGUAGCGGUGAAAUGCAUAGAUAUCACGAAGAACUCCGAUUGCGAAGGCAGCUUGCCAUACUGCGACUGACACUGAAGCACGAAGGCGUGGGUAUCAAACGGG
RNAcentral lists this ribosomal RNA (424 nucleotides) under Fusobacteriota bacterium. RNAcentral's name for it is "Fusobacteria bacterium partial 16S ribosomal RNA". It matches the Rfam family "Bacterial small subunit ribosomal RNA", at positions 355 to 776 of the family's 1533-position model. The record is from RNAcentral. Lineage: Bacteria; Fusobacteriati; Fusobacteriota.